UCCAUAUCAAAUACCACUUUUCUUUCUUAUCUUCGCUACCUUCUCUCUCUUUUAUCUUACAACAGAGACUGAAACCCUAAUAUAUUCUUUUUCAUCUGCUAAAGACUAAAACCCUUAAAUAGAUCCCCUUCUUGCUGUUUCUUCCCUUUCUCUGGAAACCCUUAAAUGCAUCGCCGUUUUAUUCUUCAUUCGAUUCGAUUUACUAUCAAUUCUGUUUACACCUUCAUUGUUGCUCUGGUUCCCCGAUUUGAGACCCUAACGGCGACGCAGUGUUGACCAAUUAGGGUUUUGGUUAUCAUCUUCUCAUUGUCGUCGCGAUCAAGGUUAACAUCUUCUGCUACAGGUGGUUUUUCAUCUUUUUUUGAUAUUACAGAAUUCAUGGGAUCCCUAAGAUUUGUGUUCGAGUUUUACCUUUCGUGACGCAUAAUAUGCUCUGCAGAGUUGUGUUUGAGUUUUACCUUUUGCGACACAUACAAUAAUAUUUAUAGAGAAUAAGGUAACAAUGUCCAUAGAUAGCACCGAGAAGGCGAGAACCUACCAUAAAUGGGACCCAACAUCAACCAAACCAGAAGUGAUUGUCCUUAUUUCCUCGUUGUUGUAUGUGAUAUCUGUAAGAUGGUGAAAAUACUGAAUUCCUAUUAUUGAUAUGUUGGGGUUACAAUAUAUAGAGAUCAUAAGGAACCCUAGAAACCCAACCAAGCCCAUGGGCUUAUACUAAUAAACCCUAGUCUAAUAAUACAAUCCAAUAAUAUCCCUGUCUAUGCAUGGUA
This is a long non-coding RNA of Helianthus annuus (common sunflower), 770 nucleotides long. RefSeq lists it as uncharacterized. The transcript is spliced from 4 exons. Lineage: Eukaryota; Viridiplantae; Streptophyta; Magnoliopsida; Asterales; Asteraceae. The record is from RefSeq and is a predicted model, not a curated record.